GCCUACGGGCAUUUGGUCAAUUUGAAACGAUACAGAGAAGAUUAGCAUGGCCCCUGCACUAAGGAUGACACGCUCAAUCAAAGAGAAGCUACCAAUUUUU
Non-coding RNA from Blumeria graminis, 100 nucleotides. The record is from Rfam. NCBI's taxonomy places the organism in Eukaryota, Fungi, Ascomycota, Leotiomycetes, Helotiales, Erysiphaceae.